Molecule: ribosomal RNA, 388 nt
Filed under: uncultured eukaryote
Lineage: Eukaryota
Description: partial 18S ribosomal RNA
Rfam family: Eukaryotic small subunit ribosomal RNA
Source: RNAcentral
CAAUAGCGUAUAUUAAAGUUGUUGCAGUUAAAAAGCUCGUAGUUGGAUUUCUGAUCGAGACAUCAGGUCGGGUCCGAGAGGAUCAUGUACUUUGAUUUUGUUUUGAUCAUCCUUGGGGAGAGCAUUUCUGGCAUUCAGUUGUCGGGAUUGGGAUCCUCAUCGUUUACUGUGAAAAAACUAGAGUGUUCAAAGCAGGCCUCGGCCUCUGAAUACAUUAGCAUGGAAUAAUAAGAUAGGACUUUGGUGGUCUAUUUUGUUGGUUUGCACGCCAAAGUAAUGAUUAAUAGGGAUAGUUGGGGGUAUUCGUAUUCAAUUGUCAGAGGUGAAAUUCUUGGAUUUAUGGAAGACGAACUACUGCGAAAGCAUUUACCAAGGAUGUUUUCAUUAA